GCCGGGUGUGGUGGUGCACGCCUGUAAUUCCAGCUACUCAGGAGGCUGAGGCAGGAGAAUUGCUUGAACCCAGGAGUCGGAGGUUGCAGUGAGCCGAGAUGCGCCACUGCACUCCAGCCUGGGUGACAGAGUGAGACUUAGUCUCAA
Macaca mulatta (Rhesus monkey) is the source of this 147-nucleotide unclassified non-coding RNA. It matches the Rfam family "Metazoan signal recognition particle RNA". From Rfam's summary of the family: The signal recognition particle (SRP) is a universally conserved ribonucleoprotein. It is involved in the co-translational targeting of proteins to membranes. The eukaryotic SRP consists of a 300-nucleotide 7S RNA and six proteins: SRPs 72, 68, 54, 19, 14, and 9. Lineage: Eukaryota; Metazoa; Chordata; Mammalia; Primates; Cercopithecidae. The record is from Ensembl.